AGAGUUUUGAUCAUGGCUCAGGAUGAACGCUGGCGGCGUGCCUAACACAUGCAAGUCGAACGGGGUUAUAAGCAGCAGAGAUUUCGGUCAAAGCAGCAUAUAACUUAGUGGCGGACGGGUGAGUAACGCGUGGGGAACCUGCCCUGUACUGGGGGAUAACAGUGAGAAAUCGCUGCUAAUACCGCAUAAGCGCACAGCAUCGCAUGAUGCAGUGUGAAAAACUCCGGUGGUACAGGAUGGACCCGCGUUGGAUUAGCCAGUUGGCGGGGUAACGGCCCACCAAAGCGACGAUCCAUAGCCGGCCUGAGAGGGUGAACGGCCACAUUGGGACUGAGACACGGCCCAGACUCC
RNAcentral lists this ribosomal RNA (351 nucleotides) under uncultured Coprococcus sp. RNAcentral's name for it is "bacterial SSU rRNA". It matches the Rfam family "Bacterial small subunit ribosomal RNA", at positions 8 to 339 of the family's 1533-position model. Lineage: Bacteria; Bacillati; Bacillota; Clostridia; Lachnospirales; Lachnospiraceae. The record is from RNAcentral.